GCCCUUGUAGCGCAACGGAUAGCGCACCGGCCUCCGGCGCCGGAGGUUGCAGGUUCAAAUCCUGCCAAGGGCGCAA
This 76-nucleotide transfer RNA is filed under the name Mycobacterium intracellulare subsp. chimaera. RNAcentral's name for it is "Mycobacterium chimaera tRNA-Arg". It matches the Rfam family "tRNA". From Rfam's summary of the family: Transfer RNA (tRNA) molecules are approximately 80 nucleotides in length. The record is from RNAcentral. Lineage: Bacteria; Bacillati; Actinomycetota; Actinomycetes; Mycobacteriales; Mycobacteriaceae.